CAGCAGCCGCGGUAAAACGAAGGGUGCAAGCGUUAAUCGGAAUUACUGGGCGUAAAGCGUGCGUAGGCGGUUUGUUAAGUCUGUUGUGAAAUCCCCGGGCUCAACCUGGGAAUGGCAAUGGAUACUGGCAAGCUAGAGUGUGUCAGAGGAUGGUGGAAUUCCCGGUGUAGCGGUGAAAUGCGUAGAGAUCGGGAGGAACAUCAGUGGCGAAGGCGGCCAUCUGGGACAACACUGACGCUGAGGCACGAAAGCGUGGGGAGCAAACAGGAUUAGAUACCCCAGUAGUCCCUGUCUCUUAUAC
This 301-nucleotide ribosomal RNA is filed under the name uncultured bacterium. RNAcentral describes it as "partial 16S ribosomal RNA". It matches the Rfam family "Bacterial small subunit ribosomal RNA", at positions 509 to 807 of the family's 1533-position model. The record is from RNAcentral.